GGGGUCGUGGCCUAGUCCGGAAUGGCGACGGGCUCCAGCGGUCUUGUGCGUGUGAUGAACAAUGGGUCUGCUGAAUUGGUGAUGACCCGUUGGAGCUCUGACGCAUAUCGGAGAGACCCGUCGAUCGUGAGUUCAAAUCUCACCGACCCCA
Molecule: transfer RNA, 151 nt
Filed under: Methanosphaerula palustris E1-9c
Lineage: Archaea; Methanobacteriati; Methanobacteriota; Methanomicrobia; Methanomicrobiales; Methanoregulaceae
Rfam family: Small nucleolar RNA sR3 (bases 48-103)
Source: Rfam by way of RNAcentral